Molecule: long non-coding RNA, 250 nt
Organism: Pogonomyrmex barbatus (red harvester ant)
Lineage: Eukaryota; Metazoa; Arthropoda; Insecta; Hymenoptera; Formicidae
Source: RefSeq, a predicted model, not a curated record
CAGAUGGCGCGGCGAGUACCACGCGUGGUCGCGCGGGGUGUCCCGCAAUCGAGUCUCACUCGCAAUCGACAAGUCCUCUAUCCGAUUCUUCGGCCCGCCAAACAGAGGCCUAAGAACUUCGAACGCCGAGGUGAAUAUAUUCCUACAACGUAAAACACAAAAUCAUCGGAAAAGAUCUGACCGGGCGGCAGCUUCACGGAGGGUAUCUUCUCCUCGACGAAGUCCAGACUAGCACACAUCGCACUAUCGA